CUCCUGCAGCUGCCGGGCCUCCUGCAGCCUCUGCUCCAGUUCCCCCGCCUGGGAAGGACCAGAAGCACAGGGAUGGCUUCACUGAAGGGCAGGCGGCCCCAGUCCCGGAUGGGGAAGGCGGAAGCCCCUCACUCAAGGCUCCCUGGAAGCCCUGCAGCUCGCCGUGGAGACGAAGCAGUUCUGACCGGUAGAGGUGCAGCUCCUGGGUCCACCGGGAGAGAUCAAGCAAGAACCAGGAGGAAUUUAUCCGAACACUACAGGAGUUGCACCCCCUGCCUCCCUGCUUACUGACGGAAUCGGGAUCCAGGGCCGAGACGAGGUUCCCGUCGAGGGACGGUUUCGCCAACGGUUCGACGGGCUGCGUGGCCCUCUCUGCCUGCUGGUCCCCUUUUCCUUGCCAGACCUUGGC
This is a long non-coding RNA of Crotalus tigris (Tiger rattlesnake), 409 nucleotides long. RefSeq lists it as uncharacterized. Lineage: Eukaryota; Metazoa; Chordata; Lepidosauria; Squamata; Viperidae. The transcript has 3 exons. The record is from RefSeq and is a predicted model, not a curated record.